CUAAGCGACUCGAGCUCUAUUUAUACAUAGCAUGUAUAUGGCUUGGUACUAUUGAGAAACUCUCUUGCGCAUUUUUCGGGAAAAAUCAGUUCAGACAAAUUCGUAAUGAGAACUUUAUUCCGUUCUUAUAUCACUUGCAGAUAACCACUUGACAGUGUGCUCAGAUAUUAAAUUCUUGGGGAAAGGAAAAGGUUUUGCCUGAGGUCUCGGAAUGCCUAUGCUAUUGUAAGCCUACGUGAAAUCCUGGCCACAAGCCCCCGCUCACAUCCAGGUUGUGUACCUGCUGGGUCAGAGUCACAGAAAAGCAUUGUCCAGGAGGAUGCUUCAUGACGAGGUGGCACACAAGUUGGAUAUUUACUAUGAGAAAAUAGAAGCAGCAUGAAAACACUUGGGAGCAUAUAUUUAUCAUCUUGAGCCAACUCUGGCUCAGCAGGUCAUUAAUGAGAAUCUCUUAACUCUAGAGCGCAUUAUUGGGCUCAGAGAUUUCAUGUCUUAUGUCACAAAGGUUUCUACGGUCAUCAUCCUGCGGUUAUAAUAUCUCAAAAUACAGUCUAAGAAAUAAAAAGUAACCUUUAAAAUGAAAAUACAGAGUCUCUGAAGAGUAGAAUGAGGUAUAAGUGGUGAACCUUCUGGA
RNAcentral lists this long non-coding RNA (634 nucleotides) under Rhinopithecus bieti (black snub-nosed monkey). Its description in RNAcentral is "lncRNA (ENSRBIG00000045811.1)". Lineage: Eukaryota; Metazoa; Chordata; Mammalia; Primates; Cercopithecidae. The record is from RNAcentral.